GAGGAUGAAGCUAUCUAGCGUUUAACUGUUAAUUAAAAGACAGCACCCUUAUUGGUGCCUUCCUUU
RNAcentral lists this transfer RNA (66 nucleotides) under Tritoniopsis elegans. RNAcentral's name for it is "tRNA-Asn". The record is from RNAcentral. Lineage: Eukaryota; Metazoa; Mollusca; Gastropoda; Nudibranchia; Tritoniidae.